This 28-nucleotide small RNA is filed under the name Bombyx mori (domestic silkworm). RNAcentral describes it as "ovarian small RNA-35719". Lineage: Eukaryota; Metazoa; Arthropoda; Insecta; Lepidoptera; Bombycidae. The record is from RNAcentral.
UGUCGAUAAGGCGAGUGACGCCAACCUA